GAUGAAGAACGUAGCGAAAUGCGAUAAGUAAUGUGAAUUGCAGAAUUCAGUGAAUCAUCGAAUCUUUGAACGCACAUUGCGCCCCCUGGUAUUCCGGGGGGCAUGCCUGUUCGAGCGUCAUUUCACCACUCAAGCCUCGCUUGGUAUUGGGCAACGCGGUCCGCCGAGUGCCUCAAAUCGACCGGCUGGGUCUUCUGUCCCCUAAGCGUUGUGGAAACUAUUCGCUAAAGGGUGUUCGGGAGGCUACGCCGUAAAACAACCCCAUUUCUAAGGUUGACCUCGGAUCAGGUAGGGAUACCCGCUGAACUUAAGCAUAUCAAUAAGCGGAGGA
RNAcentral lists this unclassified non-coding RNA (331 nucleotides) under soil metagenome. RNAcentral describes it as "partial contains 5.8S ribosomal RNA, internal transcribed spacer 2, and large subunit ribosomal RNA". The stretch from base 1 to 120 matches the Rfam family "5.8S ribosomal RNA", at positions 35 to 154 of the family's 154-position model. The record is from RNAcentral.